AGUCGAGAAUCAUUCACAAUGGACGAAAGUCUGAUGGUGCAACGCCGCGUGGAGGAUGAAGGCCCUAGGGUCGUAAACUCCUGUCAUCGGAGAGUAAGCCUUGGUCGUUAAUAGCUUCCAAGGUUGAUAGUAUCCGAAGAGGAAGGGACGGCUAACUUCGUGCCAGCAGCCGCGGUAAUACGAAGGUCCCAAGCGUUGUUCGGAUUUACUGGGCGUAAAGAGUCUGUAGGCGGUGUGGUAAGUCAGAUGUGAAAUCCCGGGGCUCAACCCCGGAACUGCAUCCGAUACUGCCACACUAGAGUAUUGGAGGGGAGUCUGGAAUUCUCGGUGUAGCAGUGAAAUGCGUAGAUAUCGAGAGGAACACUAGUGGCGAAGGCGAGACUCUGGACAAUAACUGACGCUGAGAGACGAAGGCCAGGGUAGCGAAAAGGAUUAGAUACCCUUGUAGUCCUGGCAGUAAACGGUGCUCGCUUGGUGUGGGGAGGUUCGACCCUUUCCGUGCCGGAGCUAACGCGUUAAGCGAGCCGCCUGGGGAGUACGGCCGCAAGGCUAAAACUCAAAGAAAUUGACGGGGACCCGCACAAGCGGUGGAGUAUGUGGCUUAAUUCGAUGCAACGCGAAGAACCUUACCUAGGCUUUUGCUAAGCACGUGAAAGCGUGUGACCCUUCGGGGACCUUACACAGGUGCUGCAUGGCCGUCGUCAGCUCGUGUCGUGAGAUGUUUGGUUAAGUCCAGCAACGAGCGCAACCCCUGUGAAUAGUUGCCAGCACGUAAUGGUGGGGACUCUAUUCAGACUGCCCAGGUCAACUGGGAGGAAGGUGGGGAUGACGUCAGGUCAGUAUGGCCCUUACGUCUGGGGCUGCACACGUACUACAAUGCCCAGUACAAUGAGAACCGAGACCGCGAGGUGGAGGAAAUCUGCAAAACU
This 929-nucleotide ribosomal RNA is filed under the name marine sediment metagenome. Its description in RNAcentral is "bacterial SSU rRNA". It matches the Rfam family "Bacterial small subunit ribosomal RNA", at positions 353 to 1283 of the family's 1533-position model. The record is from RNAcentral.